GACGAACGCUGGCGGCGUGCCUAAUACAUGCAAGUCGAACGCUUUUUCUUUCACCGGAGCUUGCUCCACCGAAAGAAAAAGAGUGGCGAACGGGUGAGUAACACGUGGGUAACCUGCCCAUCAGAAGAGGAUAACACUUGGAAACAGGUGCUAAUACCGUAUAACACUAUUUUCCGCAUGGAAGAAAGUUGAAAGGCGCUUUUGCGUCACUGAUGGAUGGACCCGCGGUGCAUUAGCUAGUUGGUGAGGUAACGGCUCACCAAGGCAACGAUGCAUAGCCGACCUGAGAGGGUGAUCGGCCACACUGGGACUGAGACACGGCCCAGACUCCUACGGGAGGCAGCAGUAGGGAAUCUUCGGCAAUGGACGAAAGUCUGACCGAGCAACGCCGCGUGAGUGAAGAAGGUUUUCGGAUCGUAAAACUCUGUUGUUAGAGAAGAACAAGGAUGAGAGUAAAACGUUCAUCCCUUGACGGUAUCUAACCAGAAAGCCACGGCUAACUACGUGCCAGCAGCCGCGGUAA
RNAcentral lists this ribosomal RNA (523 nucleotides) under uncultured bacterium. RNAcentral's name for it is "partial 16S ribosomal RNA". It matches the Rfam family "Bacterial small subunit ribosomal RNA", at positions 28 to 523 of the family's 1533-position model. The record is from RNAcentral.